CUUCCCAACUUAGGAAAUGAUCAAACCAGGAUCCACAGACAACUGAAGAGAAAGCCCAUGUAAAAGAGAUUGAUAUAAACUUUUUUCAUAAAUAACUCUGAUGUUAGGUACAUCACACAUUUAGGGGAAUGAUCCCUUCGUAACAUGUACCCUGUAUUCCUCUAAACCAGAUUCAAUUCUUUUUGUGAAGUGACUCAAACUUACAGUCCAAAGAGGUUACCAUUCUUUUUGGAAUUUGUUUUUGUAUCAGAGAUGAAGAUACUGCUCUGAGAUAUGAUUCUGUAGUGGAAACAGCCUCCAAAUCUAAGGAAAGGCCAGUAAUGAAGGAAAAUGUACUGGCCUAACAAGGUCUGAGUAUCUCAGCAAAUGUCUGCAAGUCUGUGGUCACAGCUAGAAAUACGAUCACUUCACAAGGAAACGAAAUAAGGAGUCUGUUAAAUGGAGCACACUGUUAGCUCUGUUUUGUCCCAGCAGAGGGAAAUCUCUAUUAUUUUUAAAAGUCAAAGAAGAAUUAUGUAAAGAAGUUAUGUACAUACAUCGUUCAGCCAACAACAUAGAUAACGUGGUUUUAUAGUUGACUCAUAGUACUUGUUUUGUCUGAAUGUGCCUUUUGGUGAACCAUGAGAGGAGAGAUAAAUUUCAGCUUUCUUUUAAAAAACAAAAUUCUGACCUUUCUGGUUGAAAGACAAGACAGACUGCAUUGAAAGCUGAGUUGAAAGACUCUGUAGGGUGAUGAGAAGAGGCUUGGACAGAGCAAUCACAGCAAGCAUUCUCUAGAACUGUGACUUUGCUUUAUAACUGCUACCAGAAAAGUAUAAUACUGUAAUGGGCAUCAUUUUGGUUGCAAACCUUGAGAAGUAAUUAAGUGUUUUGCUGAAUGCUUCAGUCUGUAGCCGUCUCCUGCACACAAAUCACUGUUUAACUGCAAGGCAGGCGUGCUCCACAGUGUUCAAUUAAAUCCUGCUCUCCUGGUCAGCCACACUGGGGAUGCGGCCAACGAUAGCAUAGAAUAGCCCUGUUGGCUUCAGGGGUACAGCAUACAGCCUCGGAGGCUCCAGGGGCAGCAUCACAGUGGUCUCUGUGUGUCCUCACCCUUGUUCUGAACUGAGUUUAACUCUGCAAGAGUACUACAGGAUCUGAAUCAAGCAUCAUAACCUUCAUAUGUUUCUAUUAGGAGCAAAAAUGACAAACUCUCUCUCUCAGUAUCACCUCUUACAUAAAUUUCUGUUGUAACCAACGUAGUUAUCUUUUUAUGCCAUGCAUAAGCACACAGAAAAUAGAAGGUGGCCACUAAUUUACAGAUAAAUGGGAGAUGCUUUUAAAAUUUAAUAUAACCCUCUUUUCUUUUUUUCACUAUCGUAUGCUCGGAGUUGAUACUAAACAAGCCAAGAUCGUGCACAUCACUGAAGCACGUGCCUUAGGGCUGCUCCGAACUAGGAACACAAGAUCUGAGCCAAAGCCCACACAAGCCAGUAAACGAAUCGACUUCUGGAGCUUUGAUGGUCUUCACAAACCUUCAGUAGGAGGGGCAGAGUAUCUUCACCCCCAGAACAGCCUGUUUGGUCAUGGAAGCUGACUACCAAAUGUACCUUCCAUGACCCAUGGUAAGAAGUUAAUGAUUAGAGAUGCCUUUCCAAGAAACACCUGAGCAGUCAAGAUUACUCACAAGGAUAUUGCCAGCCUGCCUGUCAAAGAAAAGUGAAGUCAGCAAGCCCAGAUCUUCUCACCUGUGUUCCCUAUAAAGUUGCCCUGCAACAGCUACUGUUUGCAAAAUCUGCCCUCUGCCAUCAGUAAAUUGCAAAUUCCAGUUACGCAGGGCCAGGUGGGGGUGAAAAUAAUGGAAAAUAUGCUCUGGAGAGUUGUCCCCUAUCACUAGGAAUGAGAGGAGGCAGGGGAGUCUUUCCAGGAGGUAAUCAAGUGAGUCAGUACAAGGGUACAAGAAACACAAAGAUACUGAUGCUCAGGUGGGAGUUGGGGGAUCUCUCAGUGCUGAGGAACUCAACAUUUUUCUCUUGCUCUUAACCUGAAGACCUAAGCCAUCGCUUCUUAUUUUAGGGCCUAAAUCCUUAAAAAUCUAUCCUCUGUCGACAGAUUUCACUUUGGUUACUUCAGGUAUACAAAGUAUGUUCAGAGGCAUAAUGAUUCCCAUUUCUCUGUUAUUCUGAACAACUCUAUUAGUCUGAAUACAGAGAUCUCUUAAGUUUUAUUUUGCUGUCGUCAUUCCAGCCAUAUGCAUUUAGCGCAAGCUAAUAAA
This is a long non-coding RNA of Aquila chrysaetos chrysaetos, 2254 nucleotides long. RefSeq lists it as uncharacterized. Lineage: Eukaryota; Metazoa; Chordata; Aves; Accipitriformes; Accipitridae. The transcript is spliced from 4 exons. The record is from RefSeq and is a predicted model, not a curated record.